RNAcentral lists this ribosomal RNA (660 nucleotides) under Escherichia coli. RNAcentral describes it as "bacterial LSU rRNA". It matches the Rfam family "Bacterial large subunit ribosomal RNA", at positions 1 to 692 of the family's 2925-position model. Lineage: Bacteria; Pseudomonadati; Pseudomonadota; Gammaproteobacteria; Enterobacterales; Enterobacteriaceae. The record is from RNAcentral.
GGGUUGUGAGGUUAAGCGACUAAGCGUACACGGUGGAUGCCCUGGCAGUCAGAGGCGAUGAAGGACGUGCUAAUCUGCGAUAAGCGUCGGUGAGGUGAUAUGAACCGUUAUAACCGGCGAUUUCCGAAUGGGGAAACCCAGUGUGAUUCGUCACACUAUCAUUAACUGAAUCCAUAGGUUAAUGAGGCGAACCGGGGGAACUGAAACAUCUAAGUACCCCGAGGAAAAGAAAUCAACCGAGAUUCCCCCAGUAGCGGCGAGCGAACGGGGAGCAGCCCAGAGCCUGAAUCAGUGUGUGUGUUAGUGGAAGCGUCUGGAAAGGCGCGCGAUACAGGGUGACAGCCCCGUACACAAAAAUGCACAUGCUGUGAGCUCGAUGAGUAGGGCGGGACACGUCGUAUCCUGUCUGAAUAUGGGGGGACCAUCCUCCAAGGCUAAAUACUCCUGACUGACCGAUAGUGAACCAGUACCGUGAGGGAAAGGCGAAAAGAACCCCGGCGAGGGGAGUGAAAAAGAACCUGAAACCGUGUACGUACAAGCAGUGGGAGCACAGAGCAAUCUGUGUGACUGCGUACCUUUUGUAUAAUGGGUCAGCGACUUAUAUUCUGUAGCAAGGUUAACCGAAUAGGGGAGCCGAAGGGAAACCGAGUCUUAACUGGG